Molecule: ribosomal RNA, 449 nt
Filed under: uncultured bacterium
Lineage: Bacteria
Description: bacterial SSU rRNA
Rfam family: Bacterial small subunit ribosomal RNA
Source: RNAcentral
AACGAACGCUGGCGGCAGGCCUAACACAUGCAAGUCGAACGCUCGUAGCAAUACGAGAGUGGCAGACGGGUGAGUAACACGUGGGAACCUUCCCUAUGGUUCGGAAUAGCUCAGGGAAACUUGGGGUAAUACCGGAUAAGCCCUUCGGGGAAAGAUUUAUCGCCAUUGGAUGGGCCCGCGUCGGAUUAGCUAGUUGGUGAGGUAACGGCUCACCAAGGCAACGAUCCGUAGCUGGUCUGAGAGGAUGAUCAGCCACACUGGGACUGAGACACGGCCCAGACUCCUACGGGAGGCAGCAGUGGGGAAUAUUGGACAAUGGGCGCAAGCCUGAUCCAGCCAUGCCGCGUGAGUGACGAAGGUCUUCGAUUGUAAAACUCUUUUGGCGGGACGAUAAUGACGGUACCCGCAGAAUAAGCCCCGGCUAACUUCGUGCCAGCCGCCGCCGUAAG